ACUCCUACGGGAGGCAGCAGUGGGGAAUAUUGCACAAUGGGCGCAAGCCUGAUGCAGCCAUGCCGCGUGUGUGAAGAAGGCCUUCGGGUUGUAAAGCACUUUCAGUCGUGAGGAGGUAGUGUAGUUAAUAGCUGCAUUAUUUGUACGUUAGCGACAGAAGAAGCACCGGCUAACUCCGUGCCAGCAGCCGCGGUAAUACGGAGGGUGCGAGCGUUAAUCGGAAUUACUGGGCGUAAAGCGCAUGCAGGUGGUUUGUUAAGUCAGAUGUGAAAGCCCGGGGCUCAACCUCGGAAUAGCAUUUGAAACUGGCAGACUAGAGUACUGUAGAGGGGGUUAGAAUUUCAGGUGUAGCGGUGAAAUGCGUAGAGAUCUGAAGGUAAUACCGGUGGCGAAGGCGGCCCCUGGACAGAUACUGACACUCAGAUGCGAAAGCGUGGGAG
RNAcentral lists this ribosomal RNA (440 nucleotides) under uncultured bacterium. RNAcentral's name for it is "bacterial SSU rRNA". It matches the Rfam family "Bacterial small subunit ribosomal RNA", at positions 335 to 767 of the family's 1533-position model. The record is from RNAcentral.